GCGCUGCUAGCUCAACAGGUAGAGCAACCGGCUCUUAACCGGUGGGUUCGGGGUUCGAGUCCCCGGUGGCGCA
RNAcentral lists this transfer RNA (73 nucleotides) under Actinoplanes utahensis. It matches the Rfam family "tRNA". From Rfam's summary of the family: Transfer RNA (tRNA) molecules are approximately 80 nucleotides in length. Their secondary structure includes four short double-helical elements and three loops (D, anti-codon, and T loops). Further hydrogen bonds mediate the characteristic L-shaped molecular structure. tRNAs have two regions of fundamental functional importance: the anti-codon, which is responsible for specific mRNA codon recognition, and the 3' end, to which the tRNAs corresponding amino acid is attached (by aminoacyl-tRNA synthetases). tRNAs cope with the degeneracy of the genetic code in two manners: having more than one tRNA (with a specific anti-codon) for a particular amino acid; and 'wobble' base-pairing, i.e. permitting non-standard base-pairing at the 3rd anti-codon position. The record is from Rfam by way of RNAcentral. Lineage: Bacteria; Bacillati; Actinomycetota; Actinomycetes; Micromonosporales; Micromonosporaceae.